Molecule: ribosomal RNA, 117 nt
Filed under: Anolis carolinensis (green anole)
Lineage: Eukaryota; Metazoa; Chordata; Lepidosauria; Squamata; Anolidae
Source: RNAcentral
GUGACUACUAAAUACCCUAAAAGCACCAGAUUCCAUCUGAUUUUGGAAGCUAAGCGGGACCAGCCUUGGUUUGUACUUGAAUGGGAGGCCACAAAGAAAUACCAGGUAAUGUACACU